Molecule: long non-coding RNA, 860 nt
Organism: Mus musculus (house mouse)
Lineage: Eukaryota; Metazoa; Chordata; Mammalia; Rodentia; Muridae
Product: predicted gene, 34172
Exons: 4
Source: RefSeq, a predicted model, not a curated record
GGAAGGACACAAACAGAAGAGUAAUAAGGAAAGCAAUGGUAAACGGCAGGUGCAGGGAGGCUAGAGGAGGGGCCAGAGAAGAUGGCAAGGAGACUCUCAAGGGCCAGGAAGGUGAACCAGUCUGGUCAUAAGGGUUGACCCCACGAGCUUCCCUGCCCCUCCCUAGCCCUCCUACUUUGACCUAGUUUCCAUUUCGAGGGCCUAACCUUUCCUCUCAAGGCAAGCUCUACAAAACAGUUCCCGUCACCCUCCCUCAGCUACAUGGAGCCCCUAGCUAUGUGCUUUGGAGGACAGAGGGGAAGAAAGCCAUGUGAAUGGGGACCUGCCUUCCAGGUCUCAGAGCCUUCCACUCUGUGACCUGUGUUCCCGGCCCUGCUAUGAGGAGUCAGAAGAGUUCCAGCAGAGCUAUCGAAAUGGGCAGGAAUCAGACCACACCAUGCAAAGGGUUCUUUGAAGUGACAGCACCCAUUUCUCACGUGGCCUUGGCAUAGAAAACCAGCAUCCCUGGAACUCCUGACUCUGAGCCCAUUGCACAUUGGUUUAUUUUCUCAUCAUCUUGAAGCAUCUUGAAGAAGGUCCAGGAAGGACAGGAAAGUGAGGUAGAACCAAGUUUUAAUGAUGGUGGGAAGCAGCUCCCUACAACCUGCAAGUGGACUCAAAGAGCACCCAAGUUUGGAGUCCAGAGCCUUGGUUGGUUGACUUACAGCUGCUUGUUACUCCAGCUCCGGGGUAUCUCACGAUCUGGCUUCCUCAGAUGCCUGCCUGCACUCAAGUGCAUAUACCUACACACUGAAACACACACACGUACGGUUAAAAAAGGUAAAUAACGGGGCUGGAAAGAUGGCUCAGUGGUUAAGAUC